RNAcentral lists this small RNA (154 nucleotides) under uncultured Blautia sp. RNAcentral's name for it is "M-box riboswitch (ykoK leader)". It matches the Rfam family "M-box riboswitch aptamer (ykoK leader)", at positions 10 to 160 of the family's 169-position model. Rfam says of the family: M-box riboswitch, also know as ykoK leader is described as a metaloregulatory RNA that sense divalent metals and function as a genetic control element of genes related to divalent metal transport in bacteria. It was first reported upstream of the B.subtilis ykoK gene and genes with related functions in other bacteria. The record is from RNAcentral. Lineage: Bacteria; Bacillati; Bacillota; Clostridia; Lachnospirales; Lachnospiraceae.
AAUUGUUCGGUAGGUGAGGCUCCUACAGGGAUACGGACUGUUGCCGCGAAAUAGUGGAGACACUAUCAGAUGGUUUGAACAGGGUAUAUCGAAAACCAAGGUAUACUCUAAUACAGUUUCAUCGCCCUGCAGAGUUAAAGCUCAGACGAAUGUG